UUUCCGUAGGUGAACCUGCGGAAGGAUCAUUAAUGAGUUGUCAUGGGGUUCGAUGCUGGCAGCCAGUUUUUGGAUGCAUGUGCUUGCCCUAACAAUCAUCUUCUUCUAAACACCUGUGCACAUUUUUGAGGGAGUCUUGAGUUGGUUGCCGCUCUUGGGUGAUUUUCUCACAUUCCCUUAAAUCAUUAUACGCUAUUAACAAUGUUGAACGUGCUCUGUGCCGCAAGGCCAUUAAUAUAAUACAACUUUUAACAACGGAUCUCUUGGCUCUC
RNAcentral lists this unclassified non-coding RNA (272 nucleotides) under plant metagenome. Its description in RNAcentral is "partial contains small subunit ribosomal RNA, internal transcribed spacer 1, and 5.8S ribosomal RNA". The record is from RNAcentral.